Molecule: ribosomal RNA, 1385 nt
Filed under: metagenome
Description: bacterial SSU rRNA
Rfam family: Bacterial small subunit ribosomal RNA
Source: RNAcentral
AGAGUUUGAUCCUGGCUCAGGAUGAACGCUGGCGGCGUGCUUAACACAUGCAAGUCGAACGAACCUUCGGGUUAGUGGCGGACGGGUGAGUAACGCGUGGGAAUCUGCCCUCAGGAGGGGGAUAACGGCUGGAAACGGCCGCUAAUACCCCAUAUGCCGAGAGGUGAAAGGAAAUUCGCCUGAGGAUGAGCCCGCGUCUGAUUAGCUAGUUGGUGGGGUAAGAGCUUACCAAGGCGACGAUCAGUAGCUGGUCUGAGAGGAUGAUCAGCCACACUGGGACUGAGACACGGCCCAGACUCCUACGGGAGGCAGCAGUGGGGAAUUUUCCGCAAUGGGCGAAAGCCUGACGGAGCAACGCCGCGUGAGGGAUGAAGGCCUCUGGGCUGUAAACCUCUUUUCUCAAGGAAGAAGACAUGACGGUACUUGAGGAAUAAGCCACGGCUAAUUCCGUGCCAGCAGCCGCGGUAAUACGGGAGUGGCAAGCGUUAUCCGGAAUUAUUGGGCGUAAAGCGUCCGCAGGCGGCCCUGUAAGUCUGUCGUUAAAGCGUGGAGCUUAACUCCAUUUAAGCGAUGGAAACUACAGGGCUUGAGUGUGGUAGGGGCAGAGGGAAUUCCCGGUGUAGCGGUGAAAUGCGUAGAUAUCGGGAAGAACACCAGUGGCGAAGGCGCUCUGCUGGGCCAUAACUGACGCUCAUGGACGAAAGCCAGGGGAGCGAAAGGGAUUAGAUACCCCUGUAGUCCUGGCCGUAAACGAUGAACACUAGGUGUCGGGGGAAUCGACCCCCUCGGUGUCGUAGCCAACGCGUUAAGUGUUCCGCCUGGGGAGUACGCACGCAAGUGUGAAACUCAAAGGAAUUGACGGGGGCCCGCACAAGCGGUGGAGUAUGUGGUUUAAUUCGAUGCAACGCGAAGAACCUUACCAGGGUUUGACAUCCUGCGAAUCCCUUGGAAACGAGGGAGUGCCUUCGGGAGCGCAGAGACAGGUGGUGCAUGGCUGUCGUCAGCUCGUGUCGUGAGAUGUUGGGUUAAGUCCCGCAACGAGCGCAACCCACGUCUUUAGUUGCCAGCAUUCAGUUGGGCACUCUAGAGAGACCGCCGGUGAUAAACCGGAGGAAGGUGUGGAUGACGUCAAGUCAUCAUGCCCCUUACAUCCUGGGCUACACACGUACUACAAUGCUACGGACAAAGGGCAGCAAGCUCGCGAGAGUUAGCAAAUCCCAUAAACCGUGGCUCAGUUCAGAUCGUAGGCUGCAACUCGCCUACGUGAAGGAGGAAUCGCUAGUAAUCGCAGGUCAGCAUACUGCGGUGAAUACGUUCCCGGGCCUUGUACACACCGCCCGUCACACCAUGGAAGUUGGCCAUGCCCGAAGUCGUUACUCCAACCC